RNAcentral lists this transfer RNA (96 nucleotides) under Dyella lipolytica. Its description in RNAcentral is "tRNA-Tyr". The record is from RNAcentral. Lineage: Bacteria; Pseudomonadati; Pseudomonadota; Gammaproteobacteria; Lysobacterales; Rhodanobacteraceae.
GCGGCGGAACGUGGUCGAAGAAACCGUCGUUCUCGUCGUAGUUGAGAAUCAGGACGGUGGAGUCGAAGGUCUCCUGGUUCGAGGCCAGCGCCUGCA